UUAGCCAUGCUAGUCACACGAGUUCAGACUCGUGGCGAAUAGCUCAGUAACACGUGGCCAAACUACCCUUCGGAACACAAUACCCUCGGGAAACUGAGGCUAAUAGUGUAUACCAUACCACCACUGGAAUGAGUGGUAUGCCAAACGCUCCGGCGCCGAAGGAUGUGGCUGCGGCCGAUUAGGUAGACGGUGGGGUAACGGCCCACCGUGCCAAUAAUCGGUAUGGGUCAUGAGAGUGAGAACCCAGAGACGGAAUCUGAGACAAGAUUCCGGGCCCUACGGGGCGCAGCAGGCGCGAAACCUUUACACUGCACGACAGUGCGAUAGGGGGAUCCCAAGUGCACAGGCAUAGCGCCUGUGCUUUUCGGUACCCUAAGGCGGUACCAGAAUAAGGGCUGGGCAAGACCGGUGCCAGCCGCCGCGGUAAUACCGGCAGCCCAAGUGAUGGCCGAUCUUAUUGGGCCUAAAGCGUCCGUAGCUGGCCGCGCAAGUCCAUCGGGAAAUCCACCUGCUCAACAGGUGGGCGCCCGGUAGAAACUGCGUGGCUUGGGACCGGAAGGCGCGACGGGUACGUCCGGGGUAGGAGUGAAAUCCCGUAAUCCUGGACGGACCGCC
This 615-nucleotide ribosomal RNA is filed under the name Halorubrum sp. I.B8. RNAcentral describes it as "bacterial SSU rRNA". It matches the Rfam family "Archaeal small subunit ribosomal RNA", at positions 45 to 661 of the family's 1478-position model. Lineage: Archaea; Methanobacteriati; Methanobacteriota; Halobacteria; Halobacteriales; Haloferacaceae. The record is from RNAcentral.